RNAcentral lists this transfer RNA (72 nucleotides) under Hordeum vulgare. RNAcentral describes it as "tRNA-OTHER". Lineage: Eukaryota; Viridiplantae; Streptophyta; Magnoliopsida; Poales; Poaceae. The record is from RNAcentral.
CGCAACAUGGCACAGUGGUGAUUGUCUCUGCUUAUGUCCAUCAGGUGCAGGGUUCGAGUCCCUUUGGUGCAC